Molecule: RNase P RNA, 348 nt
Filed under: Polysiphonia scopulorum
Lineage: Eukaryota; Rhodophyta; Florideophyceae; Ceramiales; Rhodomelaceae
Description: rnpB
Rfam family: Bacterial RNase P class A (bases 2-180)
About the family: Ribonuclease P (RNase P) is a ubiquitous endoribonuclease, found in archaea, bacteria and eukarya as well as chloroplasts and mitochondria. Its best characterised activity is the generation of mature 5'-ends of tRNAs by cleaving the 5'-leader elements of precursor-tRNAs.
Source: RNAcentral
GAGGAAAGUCCGGGCUCUAUUUAUAAAGAUAUAGUUGUAUAAAUACAAUAUAGGAAACUAUUAGGAUAGUACCACAGAAAUAAACCGCCUAUUAUUUUACAUAGGUAAGGGUGCAAUGGUUCGUUAAGAGCGUACCAGAAAUAUUUUUAAAGUAUUUGCUAGGUAAACCCCGUAUUAGUGCAAAGUAAUAAGCAAAUUGUGUAUGCUAAAAUAUUUAUAAAUUUUACUUACUUUUUACUUUUGUUAAUUAAUUUAUACUGCAUAAAGUAUAUUUUUUACUUCAGAUUAAUAAUUACCCUAUUUUAAUAUAUGUUAAAUUUUUUUUAAACAGAACUGAACCCGGCUUAU